RNAcentral lists this ribosomal RNA (554 nucleotides) under Hanseniaspora uvarum. Its description in RNAcentral is "partial large subunit ribosomal RNA". It matches the Rfam family "Eukaryotic large subunit ribosomal RNA", at positions 102 to 664 of the family's 3401-position model. Lineage: Eukaryota; Fungi; Ascomycota; Saccharomycetes; Saccharomycodales; Saccharomycodaceae. The record is from RNAcentral.
AAAAAGCUCAAAUUUGAAAUCUGGUACUUUCAGUGCCCGAGUUGUAAUUUGUAGAAUUUGUCUUUGAUUAGGUCCUUGUCUAUGUUCCUUGGAACAGGACGUCAUAGAGGGUGAGAAUCCCGUUUGGCGAGGAUACCUUUUCUCUGUAAGACUUUUUCGAAGAGUCGAGUUGUUUGGGAAUGCAGCUCAAAGUGGGUGGUAAAUUCCAUCUAAAGCUAAAUAUUGGCGAGAGACCGAUAGCGAACAAGUACAGUGAUGGAAAGAUGAAAAGAACUUUGAAAAGAGAGUGAAAAAGUACGUGAAAUUGUUGAAAGGGAAGGGCAUUUGAUCAGACAUGGUGUUUUUUGCAUGCACUCGCCUCUCGUGGGCUUGGGCCUCUCAAAAAUUUCACUGGGCCAACAUCAAUUCUGGCAGCAGGAUAAAUCAUUAAGAAUGUAGCUACUUCGGUAGUGUUAUAGCUUUUUGGAAUACUGUUAGCCGGGAUUGAGGACUGCGCUUCGGCAAGGAUGUUGGCAUAAUGGUUAAAUGCCGCCCGUCUUGACCACACCGAAACA